This 1246-nucleotide ribosomal RNA is filed under the name metagenome. RNAcentral describes it as "SSU rRNA". It matches the Rfam family "Eukaryotic small subunit ribosomal RNA", at positions 558 to 1823 of the family's 1831-position model. The record is from RNAcentral.
AGUCUGGUGCCAGCAGCCGCGGUAAUUCCAGCUCCAAUAGCGUAUAUUAAAGUUGUUGUGGUUAAAAAGCUCGUAGUUGGAUCUCAGUUUGAGUCAGGCGGUCCACUUGCCAGUGGCUACUGCCUGACUGAACACUUUACCGAGUUGUCCUAUGGUGUUCUUCACCGAGCGUCAUAGGCGAUCGGUACGUUUACUUUGAAAAAAUUAGAGUGCUCAAAGCAGGCGUAACGCCCGAAUAAUGUUGCAUGGAAUAAUGGAAUAGGACCUCGGUUCUAUUUUGUUGGUCUUCGGAAUCAGAGGUAAUGAUCAAUAGGGACAGACGGGGACAUUCGUAUUGCGGCGCUAGUGGUGAAAUUCUUGGACCGUCGCAAGACGAACUAAAGCGAAAGCAUUUGUCAAGAAUGUUUUCAUUAAUCAAGAACGAAAGUUAGAGGUUCGAAGGCGAUCAGAUACCGCCCUAGUUCUAACCAUAAACGAUGCCAUCCAGUAAUUCGUCUGAGUUCCUUAAAUGACUCGACGAGGGACUUCCGGGAAACCAAAGUCUUUCGGUUCCAGGGGAAGUAUGGUUGCAAAGCUGAAACUUAAAGAAAUUGACGGAAGGGCACCACCAGGAGUGGAGCCUGCGGCUUAAUUUGACCCAACACGGGAAAACUCACCCGGCCCGGACACUGGAAGGAUUGACAGAUUGAGAGCUCUUUCUUGAUUCAGUGGGUGGUGGUGCAUGGCCGUUCUUAGUUGGUGGAGUGAUUUGUCUGGUUAAUUCCGAUAACGAACGAGACUCUAGCCUACUAAAUAGAUCGUCGGCUUACAAACGCCGGCGAGACUUCUUAGAGGGACAGGCGGUGAUUCAACCGCACGAAACAGAGCAAUAACAGGUCUGUGAUGCCCUUAGAUGUCCGGGGCCGCACGCGCGCUACACUGAAGUGAUCAGCGUGCUUUUUCAACCUACUCUGUCAAGAGUGGGGAACCCAAUGAACCUUCUUCGUGAUUGGGAUAGGGGAUUGUAAUUAUUCCCCUUGAACGAGGAAUUCCCAGUAAGCGCGAGUCAUAAGCUCGCGUUGAUUACGUCCCUGCCCUUUGUACACACCGCCCGUCGCUACUACCGAUUGAAUGUUUUAGUGAGGUCUUCGGACUGGCCGGCGCAGCACUCUCGUAGUGCAGCGCUGUGUUUGGGAAGAUGCCCAAACUUGAACAUUUAGAGGAAGUAAAAGUCGUAACAAGGUUUCCGUAGGUGAACCUGCGGAAG